UGCAGUCGAGCGAAUUUGAUGGGAGCUUGCUCCCUGAAAAUUAGCGGCGGACGGGUGAGUAACACGUGGGCAACCUACCUGUAAGCCUGGGAUAACUUCGGGAAACCGGAGCUAAUACCGGAUAAUUUCUUUCUUCACAUGAAGAGAGGUUGAAAGACGGCUUUGCUGUCACUUACAGAUGGGCCCGCGGCGCAUUAGCUAGUUGGUGAGGUAACGGCUCACCAAGGCCACGAUGCGUAGCCGACCUGAGAGGGUGAUCGGCCACACUGGGACUGAGACACGGCCCAGACUCCUACGGGAGGCAGCAGUAGGGAAUCUUCCGCAAUGGACGAAAGUCUGACGGAGCAACGCCGCGUGAGUGAAGAAGGUCUUCGGAUCGUAAAACUCUGUUAUCAGGGAAGAACAAGUACCGGAGUUACUGCCGGUACCUUGACGGUACCUGACCAGAAAGCCACGGCUAACUACGUGCCAGCAGCCGCGGUAAUACGUAGGUGGCAAGCGUUGUCCGGAAUUAUUGGGCGUAAAGCGCGCGCAGGCGGUUCUUUAAGUCUGAUGUGAAAUCUUGCGGCUCAACCGUGAGCGGUCAUUGGAAACUGGAGAACUUGAGUGCAGAAGAGAAGAGCGGAAUUCCACGUGUAGCGGUGAAAUGCGUAGAGAUGUGGAGGAACACCAGUGGCGAAGGCGGCUCUUUGGUCUGUAACUGACGCUGAGGCGCGAAAGCGUGGGGAGCGAACAGGAUUAGAUACCCUGGUAGUCCACGCCGUAAACGAUGAGUGCUAAGUGUUAGAGGGUUUCCGCCCUUUAGUGCUGCAGCAAACGCAUUAAGCACUCCGCCUGGGGAGUACGGCCGCAAGGCUGAAACUCAAAGGAAUUGACGGGGGCCCGC
RNAcentral lists this ribosomal RNA (886 nucleotides) under Lederbergia galactosidilytica. RNAcentral describes it as "bacterial SSU rRNA". It matches the Rfam family "Bacterial small subunit ribosomal RNA", at positions 56 to 924 of the family's 1533-position model. Lineage: Bacteria; Bacillati; Bacillota; Bacilli; Caryophanales; Bacillaceae. The record is from RNAcentral.